ACCAGGAUGGCCGAGUGGUUAAGGCGUUGGACUUAAGAUCCAAUGGACAGCUGACAUCGUGGGUUCGAGCCCCACUCCUGGUA
Gambusia affinis (western mosquitofish) is the source of this 83-nucleotide non-coding RNA. The record is from the annotation of a RefSeq genome assembly. NCBI's taxonomy places the organism in Eukaryota, Metazoa, Chordata, Actinopteri, Cyprinodontiformes, Poeciliidae.